Non-coding RNA from Delitschia confertaspora ATCC 74209, 74 nucleotides. The record is from the annotation of a GenBank genome assembly. Lineage: Eukaryota; Fungi; Ascomycota; Dothideomycetes; Pleosporales; Delitschiaceae.
GGCUGGGUGGUGUAGUUGGUUAUCACAUCUGUCUAACACACAGAAGGUCCCGAGUUCAAGUCUCGGCCGAGUCA